RNAcentral lists this ribosomal RNA (486 nucleotides) under uncultured bacterium. RNAcentral's name for it is "partial 16S ribosomal RNA". It matches the Rfam family "Bacterial small subunit ribosomal RNA", at positions 30 to 507 of the family's 1533-position model. The record is from RNAcentral.
AUUGAACGCUGGCGGCAUGCCUUACACAUGCAAGUCGAACGGCAGCACGGGUGCUUGCACCUGGUGGCGAGUGGCGAACGGGUGAGUAAUACAUCGGAACAUGUCCUGUAGUGGGGGAUAGCCCGGCGAAAGCCGGAUUAAUACCGCAUACGAUCUACGGAUGAAAGCGGGGGACCUUCGGGCCUCGCGCUAGAGGGUUUGCCGAUGGCUGAUUAGCUAGUUGGUGGGGUAAAGGCCUACCAAGGCGACGAUCAGUAGCUGGUCUGAGAGGACGACCAGCCACACUGGGACUGAGACACGGCCCAGACUCCUACGGGAGGCAGCAGUGGGGAAUUUUGGACAAUGGGCGAAAGCCUGAUCCAGCAAUGCCGCGUGUGUGAAGAAGGCCUUCGGGUUGUAAAGCACUUUUGUCCGGAAAGAAAUCCUUGGCCCUAAUACGGUCGGGGGAUGACGGUACCGGAAGAAUAAGCACCGGCUAACUACGUG